UACGGAGGAUGCGAGCGUUAUCCGGAUUUAUUGGGUUUAAAGGGUGCGCAGGCGGUCUGUUAAGUCAGCGGUCAAAGCCCGGGGCUCAACCCCGGCCCGCUGUUGAAACUGGCAGUCUCGAGUUGGAGAGAAGUAUGCGGAAUGCGCGGCGUAGCGGUGAAAUGCAUAGAUAUCGCGCAGAACUCCGAUUGCGAAGGCAGCAUGCCGGCUCCACACUGACGCUGAGGCACGAAAGCGUGGGUAUCGAACAGG
Molecule: ribosomal RNA, 252 nt
Filed under: uncultured bacterium
Lineage: Bacteria
Description: partial 16S ribosomal RNA
Rfam family: Bacterial small subunit ribosomal RNA
Source: RNAcentral